RNAcentral lists this long non-coding RNA (1700 nucleotides) under Gossypium barbadense (sea-island cotton). Its description in RNAcentral is "long non-coding RNA (GBAR_LNC020592)". The record is from RNAcentral. Lineage: Eukaryota; Viridiplantae; Streptophyta; Magnoliopsida; Malvales; Malvaceae.
AAAAGAAAAAAAACUAACAGAAAAGAGAGAGUUUCGACGACGAACAACUGGAGGCGUUUACCACCGCUUGGCUUCGAUUGCGACGAAACAAGCGACAACAGCAAGCCAGGUAAACUCUCUUCCUUAAACCUCUCAUUUUCUGCAUUUAGUGUAUUCGUGAAGAACCAAAAAAAAGAAAAGAAAGAAAACAGGGAAGAAAAACGAAAAGAAAAAAAGAUGAAUAUACCUCUCGAAACUUCUUUUUGUUUCUUUUUUAUUCAAAAAAUCCCCUUUUACAAUAUGCAUGUUUGGCUUUUAUAGCCAGAAAAAUAAAAUAAAAGAAAAUAAAAAUCCCCUGUUUUUUACUGCUAUUUUCUUUUCUGGUAUUUCUGCUUUUUCCUUGCCUUCUCUGCUUUUUUUUUUGCGUUCGUUUGCUUGUCCUUUGCUUUGCAGGUGUCGUACGAAGACGUGGCGUGGCUCGGCUCGGAGGCGGCUGAGGCUUGGUGCGCGCGAACAAGGAGAGCUGCUGCGGCGCUGGGGCUGGGCAGAGGCUGGAGCGUGUGGAGGCUCGUGGGGCCGAGGGAAAGCUGCGGCGCUCAUGCUGAGUACCUAGGGUUUCUGCAAUUAGGUUGGGCUUUGGGCUGAGUGAUUUGGGCCUGGAGGGUUAGGCUAGUUGGGCUUAAUGGGCUGGGGACAUGUAUUUGGGUUAGGUCUUUUGAUUUAGCGGGCUAGGCUAAAUUUUGGUUGUAAUUUUGGAUUAUUUGGGCUCGGUGGGUCUGUAAAUGGACAUUUGGACUGCUAUUAGUUUUGUUUGGUUUAUUUUUGUUUUUUUUAUUUGAUUUUAUAUUACGGGCCAGGCAAAUUGGCCUAUUACAUAUGUUAUUUUAUCUAAUUUAUACAUUAUUUAAUAAAACAUAUUUUGAUAUAAUAAUUUAAAGCUAAUUUUAUAAAAUAAAUAAAUUAUUAAUAUUAUUAGCUAAUUAAGCCAUUAGUUUAUAGGGUUCUUUUUUUUUGCCAUUCAUUAGUUUACAGGUCGACUCUUUCCACGUUCCAGCAUGCCCUGAAAGACAGAACUGAUUGAUGAACAGACCAUUUUGCCGACGAAAAAAAUAUGAAAAGGAGAAAUGUAUAUAUGGAAUUCUUUUUGUGGCAAUUUGCAUCUGUAGUCGUGAUUCACAAACUUUUUGUGGCAAUUUUCAUUUCUUAUGUCACCGUUGCUGAAAAUUUAAGACUACAAUGACAUUUUAUCAGCAAGACUUUUUGCCAGAGCCACACAAUAAACAAACACCCACUUUGACCCCACACUCGACCUUCAUCACCAUUCAUCAAGUAAAAACAACGCCCUAAAUAGUUUUUAAACCCCCUAAAAGCGUUUCACCAAUUCCCCAACCCUUGUUUAAAACCACCUUUGUUUUCCACAUAGGAUCGCCCCUUUCUCGAUUCUUACAAUAUUUCUUUACACCUAUGAACUGGUAUUUAUCGUCGUUACACAACAUAUUUACGCCGCAGAUGGGGCGGCCACGAAAUGGACUGCACCAACUUCAGAGAGUGCCACCAGGAACGGUUGCAGGUUCACGGUCUCUGUCCCUCCUUCAGCCGCGCUGGUACGGUAAUCAAGUGACUCGUCGUUGUAAAUGUCCCACCAUUUCUGAACAAGCAUCUUAAUGUCUUCUCUUUGCAUGUUAGCCUCCUUCCCUGUGUACCUCCAAGGCUUAGAUCCC